GUCAGAAUGGUGGAAUUGGCAGACACUAGACGCUUAAAACGUCUUGCCUUUAUGGCGUGCGGGUUCGAGUCCCGCUUCUGACA
RNAcentral lists this transfer RNA (83 nucleotides) under Crocinitomicaceae bacterium. RNAcentral describes it as "tRNA-Leu". It matches the Rfam family "tRNA". Rfam says of the family: Transfer RNA (tRNA) molecules are approximately 80 nucleotides in length. Lineage: Bacteria; Pseudomonadati; Bacteroidota; Flavobacteriia; Flavobacteriales; Crocinitomicaceae. The record is from RNAcentral.